Oncorhynchus tshawytscha (Chinook salmon) is the source of this 1076-nucleotide long non-coding RNA. The record is from Ensembl. NCBI's taxonomy places the organism in Eukaryota, Metazoa, Chordata, Actinopteri, Salmoniformes, Salmonidae.
CCUGUAUAAACAGAGUUAUGGAAAUGUCACAAUCAUAAAACAAAAUGGCCCGGGUCGUAGCUGGAUUCGCCACCGACCGUUUACACAUUCUCCAAAACAUGGAUAUUGUUCAGUUACCAAGUUCUGUGAGGUAGAAGAAGUUCCUUUGUUCUACUGUGAACCCGCUCUCUAUACUGCAUGGCCGGGAAGAGAAUUUCCUCCAGGAAUUUACGACCUGAGAUUUCAGAGCCUGGGUGUAGGGGGAAGAGAGAGAAAGUUGGUGCUUGUUAUAGGCAAAGAGGGCCACGUCAUGACAACGUUACCCAAACAAGCUGUUGCAUGGAAACCUUUAGCCUAUCGUAUAUACUUCACACUGGGCUGUAACUAGUUAUAGUGGAGGUUAUAGUGGAGACCAGUAGGAAGGAGGACUGGGAUGUGACUGGUUAUAGUGGAGGCCAGUAGGAAGGAGGACUGGGAAGUGACUGGUUAUAGUGGAGGCCAGUAGGAAGGAGGACUGGGCUGUAACUGGUUAUAGUGGAGGCCAGUAGGAAAGAGGCUGGGAUGUGACUGGUUAUAGUGGAGGCCAGUAGGAAGGAGGACUGGGCUGUGACUGGUUAUAGUGGAGGCCAGUAGGAAGGAGGACUGGGCUGUAACUGGAUAGUGGAGGCCAGUAGGAAAGAGGACUGGGAUGUGACUGGUUAUAGUGGAGGCCAGUAGGAAGGAGGACUGGGCUGUGACUGGUUAUAGUGGAGGCCAGUAGGAAAGAGGACUGGGCUGUGACUGGUUAUAGUGGAGGCCAGUAGGAAGGAGGACUGGGCUGUGACUGGUUAAAGUGGAGGCCAGUAGGAAAGAGGACUGGGCUGUGACUGGUUAUAGUGGAGGCCAGUAGGAAGGAGGACUGGGCUGUGACUGGUUAUAGUGGAGGCCAGUAGGAAAGAGGACUGGGCUGUGACUGGUUAUAGUGGAGGCCAGUAGGAAGGAGGACUGGUCUGUGACUGGUUAUAGUGGAGGCCAGUAGGAAGGAGGAGGACUGGGCUGUGACUGGUUAUAGUGGAGGCCAGUAGGAAGGAGGAGGACUGGGCUGUGACUGGUUAUAG